Molecule: non-coding RNA, 109 nt
Organism: Acanthosepion pharaonis
Lineage: Eukaryota; Metazoa; Mollusca; Cephalopoda; Sepiida; Sepiidae
Source: the annotation of a GenBank genome assembly
UUCACGUCACCCUAAAAAAACCGGUUCGUGUACGAUCACCGAAGUUAAGCAACGUCGAACCUGGUCAAUACCUAGAUGGGUGAUCGCUUGGGAAUACCAGGUGCUGUAA